Non-coding RNA from Exophiala viscosa, 96 nucleotides. NCBI's taxonomy places the organism in Eukaryota, Fungi, Ascomycota, Eurotiomycetes, Chaetothyriales, Herpotrichiellaceae. The record is from the annotation of a RefSeq genome assembly.
GGAUUGUUAGCUCAGUGGUAUAGAGCGACAGGGGAUGGAUGGCGGAGGUCGGGGCUCCUAACCUGUAGGCCGUAGGUUCGAUUCCUACACAAUCCA